Molecule: transfer RNA, 85 nt
Filed under: Candidatus Izimoplasma sp. HR2
Lineage: Bacteria; Bacillati; Mycoplasmatota; Mollicutes; Candidatus Izemoplasmatales; Candidatus Izemoplasmataceae
Also listed under: 1 other name
Description: Candidatus Izimaplasma sp. HR2 tRNA-Ser
Source: RNAcentral
GGAGCAUACAUUAAUGGUGAUAAGUAGUCUUGAAAACUAUGAGGAGGUAAUACUCUACAGAGUUCGAUUCUCUGGUGCUCCUCCA